Non-coding RNA from Triticum urartu, 135 nucleotides. Lineage: Eukaryota; Viridiplantae; Streptophyta; Magnoliopsida; Poales; Poaceae. The record is from Rfam.
UUUGUACUCUUUCCGUCCCAAAAUUCUUGUCUUAAAUUCGUCUAGAUAUGGAUGUAUCUAAUACUAAAACAUAAUUUGGUACAUCCGUAUUUAGACAAAUCGAAGACAAAAUUUUUGGGACGGGGGGAGUAGAUA